Molecule: long non-coding RNA, 280 nt
Filed under: Helianthus annuus (common sunflower)
Lineage: Eukaryota; Viridiplantae; Streptophyta; Magnoliopsida; Asterales; Asteraceae
Description: sRNA HanXRQr2_Chr12g0544011
Source: RNAcentral
UAGGCUAACAUAUCUAAGAUUCUAAGUUAUUUGUUAUGAUUCCAAUGGGCAAUUUGGGACCCAUGAAACCACUUAAUAUGGUGUCAUAAACGAGCUCUUAGAACUAGAUAAUAUUUUCAUAUACAUACUUUUGAUACUUUAAUUUCUAAAUCCCGAAUCUCACCACUUCCUAAAUAUCAAGAAACCUUGCCAAUAAAUCCUUAUUCUCUAACAACUCGCCACUCAUGGAUAAUCGGAAAGCAUAUGCAAUUUUGUUGAGGAUGAUGAUGCUAUGAAAAGA